This is a long non-coding RNA of Dioscorea cayenensis subsp. rotundata (Guinea yam), 675 nucleotides long. RefSeq lists it as uncharacterized. Lineage: Eukaryota; Viridiplantae; Streptophyta; Magnoliopsida; Dioscoreales; Dioscoreaceae. The transcript is spliced from 2 exons. The record is from RefSeq and is a predicted model, not a curated record.
GAUUAUUAAUUUUGAUCAGUUGGUGGUAGUGGUGGUGGUGAGAUUGUUGCGCAGGAUAUGUUUCUAUGAAGGCAUCUGGUUCUUUGAAGUCUGGAUAUGGUGUUGAUGAUGCAUUUGUGCUGGAUCAGGAGGUGAAGACGAGGGGGUUUGAUUUGUUGGUGGAGAUUAGCCUGACAUAGGUGUUUCUGAUUUAUGAGAAACAGUGAGGCAAGUUUGAUUUCUGAUUUUUGUUAACAUUUUGAAGUAGUCAAUUAUCUUCAAAAGUUCUUAUAAUAUCUCCAAAUUGCCAAUAACCUUGAUCUUGAAGUACCUCCAUCCUUUUAUUUUUAUAGCUUGAUCUUCUUCUCCUGACUCUCUAAUUUUAAUUUCCUAUGUUUUCUAACUAAUUUGAUGACACACAAUUAAUCAUAAACCUUGGGCUCUGGCUUAGGCACUUGGACACAAAUUGUUAAGUUGCCACACAUUGUAUGGUUCUUUUUUACUUCACUAGGCUCUAUGAUUCUUGGAAAUGUUGAAUGCUGAAUUUGUAGAGCUUGAAGUCAAUUUUCCAAUAAAUCCAGGUUCACUCCAUUUUUACUAUGAUUCUGUGUGAAUGGAUCAUCGAAUUGUAGUGGUUUCAUAUAAACAUUCAUAAGAGGCCCAUAUAAUUUAUUAUAAGGCACAAACUAAAGAGUU